GCGUGAGUGAUGAAGGCCUUAGGGUUGUAAAACUCUUUCAGCGGGGAAGAUGAUGACGGUACCCGCAGAAGAAGCCCCGGCUAACUCCGUGCCAGCAGCCGCGGUAAUACGGAGGGGGCUAGCGUUGUUCGGAAUUACUGGGCGUAAAGCGCGCGUAGGCGGUUUGCCAAGUCAGGCGUGAAAUCCCCGGGCUCAACCUGGGAACUGCGCUUGAUACUGGCUGACUGGAAUCCGGUAGAGGGUAGUGGAAUUCCCAGUGUAGAGGUGAAAUUCGU
Molecule: ribosomal RNA, 275 nt
Filed under: uncultured bacterium
Lineage: Bacteria
Description: partial 16S ribosomal RNA
Rfam family: Bacterial small subunit ribosomal RNA
Source: RNAcentral